Molecule: microRNA precursor, 83 nt
Organism: Pan paniscus (pygmy chimpanzee)
Lineage: Eukaryota; Metazoa; Chordata; Mammalia; Primates; Hominidae
Source: Ensembl
AAUAGAGGGUGCACAGGCACGGGAGCUCAGGUGAGCUCAGUUCCCUGCCUCACCUGAGCAACCGUGCCUGUGCACCCUCUAUU